GACGAACCGUGCGAACGUUAUUCGGAAUCACUGGGCUUAAAGCGCGUGUAGGCGGCCCGGCACGUCGAUCGCUGAAAGCCCCCGGCUCAACCGGGGAACGGGCGUCGAUACGACCGGGCUGCGAGGGGGGUAGGGGGAGCCGGAACUCACGGUGGAGCGGUGAAAUGCGUUGAGAUCGUGAGGAACGCCCGUGGCGAAAGCGGGCUCCUGGGCCCCGCCUGACGCUGAGACGCGAAAGCUAGGGGAGCGAACGGG
RNAcentral lists this ribosomal RNA (255 nucleotides) under uncultured bacterium. RNAcentral's name for it is "partial 16S ribosomal RNA". It matches the Rfam family "Bacterial small subunit ribosomal RNA", at positions 524 to 776 of the family's 1533-position model. The record is from RNAcentral.